RNAcentral lists this ribosomal RNA (429 nucleotides) under Verrucomicrobiota bacterium. RNAcentral describes it as "Verrucomicrobia bacterium partial 16S ribosomal RNA". It matches the Rfam family "Bacterial small subunit ribosomal RNA", at positions 355 to 776 of the family's 1533-position model. Lineage: Bacteria; Pseudomonadati; Verrucomicrobiota. The record is from RNAcentral.
UAGGGAAUCUUCCGCAAUGGACGAAAGUCUGACGGAGCAACGCCGCGUGAGUGAAGAAGGAUUUCGGUUCGUAAAACUCUGUUGUUAGGGAAGAAAAAAUGUAUAGUAACUAUAUACAAAAGAGACGGUACCUAACCAGAAAGCCACGGCUAACUACGUGCCAGCAGCCGCGGUAAUACGUAGGUGGCAAGCGUUGUCCGGAAUUAUUGGGCGUAAAGCGCGCGCAGGUGGUUUAGAAAGUCUGAUGUGAAAGCCCACGGCUCAACCGUGGAGGGUCAUUGGAAACUAAUAAACUUGAGUGCAGGAGAGAGAAGUGGAAUUCCUGGUGUGGCGGUGAAAUGCGUAGAGAUUAGGAGGAACACCGGUGGCGAAAGCGGCUUUUUGGCCUGCAACUGACACUGAGGCGCGAAAGCGUGGGGAGCAAACAGG